This 773-nucleotide ribosomal RNA is filed under the name uncultured bacterium. RNAcentral describes it as "bacterial SSU rRNA". It matches the Rfam family "Bacterial small subunit ribosomal RNA", at positions 8 to 798 of the family's 1533-position model. The record is from RNAcentral.
AGAGUUUGAUCCUGGCUCAGGACGAACGCUGGCGGCGUGCUUAACACAUGCAAGUCGAACGGAAAGGCCCUUCGGGGUACUCGAGUGGCGAACGGGUGAGUAACACGUGGGUGAUCUGCCCUGCACUUUGGGAUAAGCCUGGGAAACUGGGUCUAAUACCGAAUAGGACCACGCGCUUCAUGGUGUGUGGUGGAAAGCUUUUGCGGUGUGGGAUGGGCCCGCGGCCUAUCAGCUUGUUGGUGGGGUAAUGGCCUACCAAGGCGACGACGGGUAGCCGGCCUGAGAGGGUGACCGGCCACACUGGGACUGAGAUACGGCCCAGACUCCUACGGGAGGCAGCAGUGGGGAAUAUUGCACAAUGGGCGCAAGCCUGAUGCAGCGACGCCGCGUGAGGGAUGACGGCCUUCGGGUUGUAAACCUCUUUCAAUAGGGACGAAGCGCAAGUGACGGUACCUAUAGAAGAAGCACCGGCCAACUACGUGCCAGCAGCCGCGGUAAUACGUAGGGUGCGAGCGUUGUCCGGAAUUACUGGGCGUAAAGAGCUCGUAGGUGGUUUGUCGCGUUGUUCGUGAAAACUCACAGCUUAACUGUGGGCGUGCGGGCGAUACGGGCAGACUAGAGUACUGCAGGGGAGAUUGGAAUUCCUGGUGUAGCGGUGGAAUGCGCAGAUAUCAGGAGGAACACCGGUGGCGAAGGCGGGUCUCUGGGCAGUAACUGACGCUGAGGAGCGAAAGCGUGGGGAGCGAACAGGAUUAGAUACCCUGGUAGUCCAA